CCUACGGGCGGCAGCAGUGGGGAAUAUUGCACAAUGGGCGCAAGCCUGAUGCAGCCAUGCCGCGUGUGUGAAGAAGGCCUUCGGGUUGUAAAGCACUUUCAGCGGGGAGGAAGGCGUUAAGGUUAAUAACCUUGGCGAUUGACGUUACCCGCAGAAGAAGCACCGGCUAACUCCGUGCCAGCAGCCGCGGUAAUACGGAGGGUGCAAGCGUUAAUCGGAAUUACUGGGCGUAAAGCGCACGCAGGCGGUCUGUCAAGUCGGAUGUGAAAUCCCCGGGCUCAACCUGGGAACUGCAUUCGAAACUGGCAGGCUAGAGUCUUGUAGAGGGGGGUAGAAUUCCAGGUGUAGCGGUGAAAUGCGUAGAGAUCUGGAGGAAUACCGGUGGCGUAGGCGGCCCCCUGGACAAAGACUGACGCUCAGGUGCGAAAGCGUGGGGAGCAAACAGGAUUAGAUACCCUUGUAGUC
RNAcentral lists this ribosomal RNA (465 nucleotides) under uncultured Klebsiella sp. Its description in RNAcentral is "bacterial SSU rRNA". It matches the Rfam family "Bacterial small subunit ribosomal RNA", at positions 338 to 795 of the family's 1533-position model. The record is from RNAcentral. Lineage: Bacteria; Pseudomonadati; Pseudomonadota; Gammaproteobacteria; Enterobacterales; Enterobacteriaceae.